Molecule: unclassified non-coding RNA, 1607 nt
Filed under: Gigantopelta aegis
Lineage: Eukaryota; Metazoa; Mollusca; Gastropoda; Neomphalida; Peltospiridae
Description: baculoviral IAP repeat-containing protein 3-like, transcript variant X1
Source: RNAcentral
AUCAACAACAGGCUUGAAGUUGAACAACUACGCAUACGCCAAUUUUGUCUGUGCUUGACAAACCUAACUUCGCGGCUCGAGUGAAAAUGUUGUCUUCUUUGCAGCACUCGAAUCUUCAGACUGAUUCUGUUGGGUUAGAUGUGCGUUCCAGUGCUGUUUUGAAUACUGAUUUUAAUAGUAGCAGCAGUUAUGAUGCCGAUAUGCUCAGUAAGCGCCUGAACACAUUUAGAAACUACAGAGGUAACAAAACUGCGCUGCAGUUGGCCAUGGCAGGUUUUGUGUACACGGGCUCGGCCGAUAAGGUUAUGUGUAAUUCGUGCGGGGUUCGGCUGUAUAACUGGAUCGGGGAAGAAGACCCGUUGGAGGAACAUCGAAAAUAUUCAUCGGACUGUAGUUUCAUCAAGGCCAAAUUUCCCACCAGUUCAACAGAAUCGGGAUGUUAUGUAAAAUCCGAUUCCGUUUCUUCUAACUCUAGCAUAGUGCCCAAGUUCAAAGAAUACGCCAGUUAUGAAGAGAGACUGAAAAGUUUCGCUGGGUGGCCGUUGAAGCUGCCGUCCCAGAAACCGAGCGUCUUGGCCCAGUCUGGGUUUUUCUACAUCGGUUCGGCCGAUCGCGCCAGAUGCUUCCACUGCGGUCUGACCUUGAGGGACUGGGAUGAUGACGACUUCCCACCUGCCGUACACAGAGAAUGGUCGGCAGAUUGUGAAAUUGCCAAAAAUCUGGAUGUUGAAAAAAUAAGGAGGGACGUAGAAGACGAGGGUUUCGUAUCGAUCUCGGGCACCUUCAAGAAAGAACCCGAAAUGCCUGUCAAUAUGGCUGACGCUACUACUGUAACUUAUGCUCAGCCAGCCGAUCGCGUGGUGAGCCAGGCUACUCAGGAGGAUAAUUCCAGCAGUAACUAUGGAUACAACCCGACUAUUCAGGCAGUUUUGGAAAUGGGCUAUUCAAUUGACGUUAUUAAUAAGGCGAUCGAAAAAAGAAAGAACGAACUAGGGUCUCAAUUCCCAAAUGCGGUGGCUCUGUUUGAAGCUGUGUUGGAUCAGGAAGGUUGAUACGCUCCAGCUGGACUACGUGUUUGGUUUUGAUCUCAAAUACAGUGUGACUCCACUUCCUACGAGUGCCAAGCAGUGCAUGCACCGAGCCCGUGUGCACCCAUGUCAUCAUGGAAAGUUGCAGGAUGAUGUGAAAUGAUGAAGAUCAAGAUAGCGAUGUGAAAUGAUGAAGAUCAAGAUAGCGAUUCUCUAUCGAACGUUCUACGAAGUGACCAGACUAAGGUCACAGUGACCCAGGACUGUCAGGUUUGACGCACGGAUAAAUUAACUGUCGCAGCUGAAGAGGCAAGGACUGGGAUGUUGAAAAUAGGAGGCACUUGGCUGGGAUGUUGAAAGUAGGAGGGACUUUGCUAUCAAAGCGAGAAGAAAAAAACACGGAAACAAAGAAAUGAGACGGUGCAUAAGCGUCGGAAGAUGUCGGUAACUGGGGGACAUACUGGAGAAAGAAAGAAAUGUUUUAUUUAACGACGCACUCAACACAUUUUAUUUACGGUUAUAUGGUGUCAGACAUAUGGUUAAGGACAAAUUUUAAGAGGAAACCCGCUGUCGCCACUA